AUCGCUUCUCGGCCUUUUGGCUAAGAUCAAGUGUAGUAUCUACAAGGUUUGAAAAUAAUGAGUAGAUUUCCUAGUGUGCCAGUAGUGAAUUAUUGCAUUUCAGUUUCAAAUGUAUCCUUU
This 120-nucleotide small nuclear RNA is filed under the name Rhinolophus ferrumequinum (greater horseshoe bat). Its description in RNAcentral is "U2 spliceosomal RNA (ENSRFEG00010005203.1)". It matches the Rfam family "U2 spliceosomal RNA". From Rfam's summary of the family: U2 is a small nuclear RNA (snRNA) component of the spliceosome (involved in pre-mRNA splicing). Complementary binding between U2 snRNA (in an area lying towards the 5' end but 3' to hairpin I) and the branchpoint sequence (BPS) of the intron results the bulging out of an unpaired adenosine, on the BPS, which initiates a nucleophilic attack at the intronic 5' splice site, thus starting the first of two transesterification reactions that mediate splicing. The record is from Rfam by way of RNAcentral. Lineage: Eukaryota; Metazoa; Chordata; Mammalia; Chiroptera; Rhinolophidae.